Molecule: ribosomal RNA, 253 nt
Filed under: uncultured bacterium
Lineage: Bacteria
Description: partial 16S ribosomal RNA
Rfam family: Bacterial small subunit ribosomal RNA
Source: RNAcentral
UACGGAGGGUGCAAACGUUGCUCGGAAUCAUUGGGCGUAAAGCGCACGUAGGCGGCCUGACAAGUCGGAUGUGAAAGCCCUUGGCUCAACUGAGGAAGUGCACCCGAAACUGAGUGGCUAGAGUACGAAAGAGGGUCGCGGAAUUCCCGGUGUAGAGGUGAAAUUCGUAGAUAUCGGGAGGAACACCGGUGGCGAAGGCGGCGACCUGGGUCGAUACUGACGCUGAUGCGCGAAAGCGUGGGGAGCAAACAGG